GGGGGUAUAUCUCAGUGAUAGAAUGUGUGUUUAGCAUGCAUGAGGUCCUGGGUUCGAUCCCCAGUUCUUCCA
This is a transfer RNA of Camelus ferus (Wild Bactrian camel), 72 nucleotides long. It matches the Rfam family "tRNA". From Rfam's summary of the family: Transfer RNA (tRNA) molecules are approximately 80 nucleotides in length. NCBI's taxonomy places the organism in Eukaryota, Metazoa, Chordata, Mammalia, Artiodactyla, Camelidae. The record is from Rfam.